GAUGAACGCUGGCGGCGUGCCUAAUACAUGCAAGUCGAGCGAACGGACGAGAAGCUUGCUUCUCUGAUGUUAGCUGCGGACGGGUGAGUAACACGUGGAUAACCUACCUAUAAGACUGGGAUAACUUCGGGAAACCGGAGCUAAUACCGGAUAAUAUUUUGAACCGCAUGGUUCAAAAGUGAAAGACGGUCUUGCUGUCACUUAUAGAUGGAUCCGCGCUGCAUUAGCUAGUUGGUAAGGUAACGGCUUACCAAGGCAACGAUGCAUAGCCGACCUGAGAGGGUGAUCGGCCACACUGGAACUGAGACACGGUCCAGACUCCUACGGGAGGCAGCAGUAGGGAAUCUUCCGCAAUAGGCGAAAGCCUGACGGAGCAACGCCGCGUGAGUGAUGAAGGUCUUCGGAUCGUAAAACUCUGUUAUUAGGGAAGAACAUAUGUGUAAGUAACUGUGCACAUCUUGACGGUACCUAAUCAGAAAGCCACGGCUAACUACGUG
Molecule: ribosomal RNA, 497 nt
Filed under: uncultured bacterium
Lineage: Bacteria
Description: partial 16S ribosomal RNA
Rfam family: Bacterial small subunit ribosomal RNA
Source: RNAcentral